AGGACUAACGCUGGCGGCGUGCCUAACACAUGCAAGUCGAACGAAGUAGCAAUACUUAGUGGCAGACGGGUGAGUAACACGUAGUCAACCUGCCCUUCAAUGGGGGAUAACUAGCCGAAAGGUUAGCUAAUACCGCAUACGAUCUCUGAGUGGCAUCACUCGGCGAUGAAAGGAGUAAUCCGUUGAAGGAGGGGACUGCGUCCCAUUAGUUAGUUGGUGGGGUAAUGGCCUACCAAGACUCCGAUGGGUAGCUGGCUUGAGAGAGCGACCAGCCACACUGGAACUGAGACACGGUCCAGACUCCUACGGGAGGCAGCAGUGAGGAAUUUUCCGCAAUGGGGGAAACCCUGACGGAGCGACGCCGCGUGUGGGAAGAAGGCCUUCGGGUCGUAAACCACUGUCGAGGGGGACGAGUAUUGACGGUACCCCUGGAGGAAGGCCCCGGCUAACUACGUGCCAGCAGCCGC
Molecule: ribosomal RNA, 467 nt
Filed under: uncultured bacterium
Lineage: Bacteria
Description: SSU rRNA
Rfam family: Bacterial small subunit ribosomal RNA
Source: RNAcentral